GGGUUGUGAGGUUAAGCGACUAAGCGUACACGGUGGAUGCCCGGCCCCGAGCAGUCAGAGGCGAUGAAGGACGUGCUAAUCUGCGAUAAGCGCCGGUAAGGUGAUAUGAACCGUUAUAACCGGCGAUUUCCGAAUGGGGAAACCCAGUGUGAUUCGUCACACUAUCAUUAACUGAAUCCAUAGGUUAAUGAGGCGAACCGGGGGAACUGAAACAUCUAAGUACCCCGAGGAAAAGAAAUCAACCGAGAUUCCCCCAGUAGCGGCGAGCGAACGGGGAGGAGCCCAGAGCCUGAAUCAGCAUGGGUGUGAGUGGGUGCGUCUGGAGAGGCGGGCGGUACAGGGUGACAGCCCCGUACACAAAAGCGCAUGUGCUGUGAGCUCGAUGAGUAGGGCGGGACACGUGGUAUCCUGUCUGAAAUAUGGGGACCAUCCUCCAAGGCUAAAUACUCCUGACUGACCGAUAGUGAACCAGUACCGUGAGGAAAAGGCGAAAAGAACCCCGGCGAGGGGAGGAAAAGAACCUGAAACCGUGUACGUACAAGCAGUGGGAGCACCCUUCGGGGUGUGACUGCGUACCUUUGUAUAAUGGGUCAGCGACUUAUAUUCUGUAGCAAGGUUAACCGUAUAGGGAGCCGGAGGGAAACCGAGUCUUAACCGGGCGUUGUUGCAGGGUAUAGACCCGAAACCCGGUGAUUAGCCAUGGGCAGGUUGAAGGUUGGGUAACACUAACUGGAGGACCGAACCGACUAAUGUUGAAAAAUUAGCGGAUGACCUGUGCCUGGGGUGAAAGGCCAAUCAAACCGGGAGAUAGCUGGUUCUCCCCGAAAGCUAUUUAGGUAGCGCCUCGUGCAUUCAUCUCCGGGGGUUGAGCACUGUUUCGGCUAGGGGGCCAUCCCGGCUUACCAACCCGAUGCAAACUGCGAAUACCGGAGAAUGUUAUCACGGGAGACACACGGCGGGUGCUAACGUCCGUCGUGAAGAGGGAAACAACCCAGACCGCCAGCUAAGGUCCCAAAGUCAUGGUUAAGUGGGAAACGAUGUGGGAAGGCCCAGACAGCCAGGAUGUUGGCUUAGAAGCAGCCAUCAUUUAAAGAAAGCGUAAUAGCUCACUGGUCGAGUCGGCCUGCGCGGAAGAUGUAACGGGGCUAAACCAUGCACCGAAGCUGCGGCAGCGAACGUAUCACCCAAGACAACUUUACGGAGUUGACGAUUGACGGAGCGAAGCGACGUCAAAGCGUUCAUUAAAGUCGAGUUGGCUUAGGGAUACGUUCGUUGGGUAGGGAGCGUUCUGUAAGCCUGUGAAGGUGUGUCGUGAGGCAUGCUGGAGGUAUCAGAAGUGCGAAUGCUGACAUAAGUAACGAUAAAGCGGGUGAAAAGCCCGCUCGCCGGAAGACCAAGGGUUCCUGUCCAACGUUAAUCGGGGCAGGGUGAGUCGACCCCUAAGGCGAGGCCGAAAGGCGUAGUCGAUGGGAAACGGGUUAAUAUUCCCGUACUUGGUGUUACUGCGAAGGGGACGGAGAAGGCUAUGUUGGCCGGGCGACGGUUGUCCCGGUUUAAGCGUGUAGGUGUGUGUUCCAGGUAAAUCCGGUUCACUUUAACACUGAGGCGUGACGACGAGGCACUACGGUGCUGAAGCAACAAAUGCCCUGCUUCAGGAAAAGCCUCUAAGCAUCAGGUAACAUCAAAUCGUACCCCAAACCGACACAGGUGGUCAGGUAGAGAAUACCAAGGCGCUUGAGAGAACUCGGGUGAAGGAACUAGGCAAAAUGGUGCCGUAACUUCGGGAGAAGGCACGCUGACACGUAGGUGAAGUGAUUUACUCAUGGAGCUGAAGUCAGUCGAAGAUACCAGCUGGCUGCAACUGUUUAUUAAAAACACAGCACUGUGCAAACACGAAAGUGGACGUAUACGGUGUGACGCCUGCCCGGUGCCGGAAGGUUAAUUGAUGGGGUCAGCGCAAGCGAAGCUCCUGAUCGAAGCCCCGGUAAACGGCGGCCGUAACUAUAACGGUCCUAAGGUAGCGAAAUUCCUUGUCGGGUAAGUUCCGACCUGCACGAAUGGCGUAAUGAUGGCCAGGCUGUCUCCACCCGAGACUCAGUGAAAUUGAACUCGCUGUGAAGAUGCAGUGUACCCGCGGCAAGACGGAAAGACCCCGUGAACCUUUACUAUAGCUUGACACUGAACAUUGAGCCUUGAUGUGUAGGAUAGGUGGGAGGCUUUGAAGUGUGGACGCCAGUCUGCAUGGAGCCGACCUUGAAAUACCACCCUUUAAUGUUUGAUGUUCUAACGUGGACCCGUUACCCGGGUUGCGGACAGUGUCUGGUGGGUAGUUUGACUGGGGCGGUCUCCUCCUAAAGAGUAACGGAGGAGCACGAAGGUUGGCUAAUCCUGGUCGGACAUCAGGAGGUUAGUGCAAUGGCAUAAGCCAGCUUGACUGCGAGCGUGACGGCGCGAGCAGGUGCGAAAAAGCAGGUCAUAGUGAUCCGGUGGUUCUGAAUGGAAGGGCCAUCGCUCAACGGAUAAAAGGUACUCCGGGGAUAACAGGCUGAUACCGCCCAAGAGUUCAUAUCGACGGCGGUGUUUGGCACCUCGAUGUCGGCUCAUCACAUCCUGGGGCUGAAGUAGGUCCCAAGGGUAUGGCUGUUCGCCAUUUAAAGUGGUACGCGAGCUGGGUUUAGAACGUCGUGAGACAGUUCGGUCCCCAUUCGCCGUGGGCGCUGGAGAACUGAGGGGGGCUGCUCCUAGUACGAGAGGACCGGAGUGGACGCAUCACUGGUGUUCGGGUUGUCAUGCCAAUGGCACUGCCCGGUAGCUAAAUGCGGAAGAGAUAAGUGCUGAAAGCAUCUAAGCACGAAACUUGCCCCGAGAUGAGUUGUCCCCCGGAGACUUAGAGUCUCCUGAAGGAACGUUGAAGACGACGACGUUGAUAGGCCGGGUGUGUAAGCGCAGCGAUGCGUUGAGCUAACCGGUACUAAUGAACCGUGAGGCUUAACCUUACAACGCCGAAG
RNAcentral lists this ribosomal RNA (3008 nucleotides) under Salmonella enterica subsp. enterica serovar 1,4,[5],12:i:-. Its description in RNAcentral is "23S ribosomal RNA". It matches the Rfam family "Bacterial large subunit ribosomal RNA". Lineage: Bacteria; Pseudomonadati; Pseudomonadota; Gammaproteobacteria; Enterobacterales; Enterobacteriaceae. The record is from RNAcentral.